CGCGCAUAAGCCCACCCCAUCACAGAAGCUGGAUUCAUGCAUCCCCCUGUUAGAUCAGAACCAAGAAUGUGAAGAGUCAGUUUGGAUAGACUGGAUAUCCAUGUCUUCAUGAAAGUACUCGCUCGACUUCUUCUGGAAAGUCCAAGUGAAAUGCUAACAAUUGCAAAUGUCAAAAUUCCUUCUGUCAAUGCACCUCGAUGAAUGUCAAUGCUCAAAACAGGUCCACGUCCUAUGUUUGGAAAUGCCGCAAUGAUGAAUCUAACCCCAGUAAUUGAACCAAAGACCUGAGAAGGAAUUCUAGCAGCAACAGUGAAGAUGAAAUUGGUGAGAUCCCCGGAGAUGGCACCAGAUAAUAUAGUGAGAGGGUUGUAUGCCCCACCUUUGGUAGCUUUAGUCAACAAGGCAAAUAAAAACAUAUUGAUGACAGAAAUAGCAUGUUUGAGGAUUUCACCUUUGAGAUCAUGAGCCCCAUAACCCAAGAUUUUAUGAACAAACAUCUUAAUAAGCACACUUGACCAAACCCACAUGAAAGACAUGAUGAAAUCUGAAAUCACAAGGCUUCUCCUGCUUACCCCCAUUUCGUCUUUUCCUUGUUUGUUUGGAGACGAAGGAGUUACUGAGGAAGGGUCUGUGUGGCUAAGCUUUCGGUUUCGGUUUCCUUACUUAUGUUGACGUCGGUCGUCGGGGACUCAUUAUUGUGGCUGUUGUCAGCAUCUUUAUCGGAAUUGCUACGAAACAGGUCAAUCUUUUAUCUCUUUUUCUUUUUCCUUACUUAUGUUGACGUCGGUCGUCGGGGACUCAUUAUUGUGGCUGUUGUCAGCAUCUUUAUCGGAAUUGCUACGAAACAGGUCAAUCUUUUAUCUCUUUUUCUU
This 872-nucleotide unclassified non-coding RNA is filed under the name Hevea brasiliensis (rubber tree). The record is from RNAcentral. Lineage: Eukaryota; Viridiplantae; Streptophyta; Magnoliopsida; Malpighiales; Euphorbiaceae.